RNAcentral lists this ribosomal RNA (372 nucleotides) under uncultured organism. RNAcentral's name for it is "bacterial SSU rRNA". It matches the Rfam family "Bacterial small subunit ribosomal RNA", at positions 526 to 896 of the family's 1533-position model. The record is from RNAcentral.
CGUAGGUGGCAAGCGUUACUCGGAAUCACUAGGCGUAAAGCGCAGGUAGGAGGUUUGGUAAGUCUGUUGUGAAAGCUCCCGGCUCAACUGGGAGAGGUCAACGGAAACUACUAGGCUAGAGUGUGGUAGAGGAAGAUGGAAUUCCCGGUGUAGCGGUGAAAUGCGUAGAUAUCGGGAGGAAUACCUAUGGCGAAAGCAGUCUUCUGGACCAUCACUGACUCUGAUCUGCGAAAGCUAGGGGAGCAAACAGGAUUAGAUACCCUGGUAGUCCUAGCCCUAAACGAUGCUCAUUAGGUGUGGGAGGUAUCGACCCCUUCCGCGCCGUAGCUAACGCAUUAAAUGAGCCGCCUGGGGAGUACGGCCGCAAGGUUG